CCCCUUUCUCUAUUAUACACUGACUCACCUGUGGUGGAAGGAGCUUCUGUAACAUGUACAGUGGUGCUUGUUGGCAAAACGGUCACUGGAGCUAAGAAAACAAUUCACAAAUUCAAAACAUACAUUUUGGGAGAGUGAAUUGCAUUAUGGACCAGUUUUGAGUUAAUUACGUGCCAUACAACAAAUAGGGCCGGCGUGUUUUUUUUUGUGGACGAGAAAGCUAGAAAGACUAAGUUAAUUGAUUUCCAUUGUUGCCCAAGAGUGUAGAGUAGUGAAAAUAAAUUAUAUCUCGCCACAAAUUACCUUUCAUGACCCUUAAGUUUUGAAUAAUUUUUUUGUCGUUGAAAAUGCCAUCUAUGUCCACUCUGCAACAGUAUGGCCCACUGUCUGUCCGCUUGACGUCGAGAAUUCCCAGGUCCAUUUCUCCCGCGAGGACAUCACCUGCCAGUCUGUACCUGUCCGACACCUUGGAGAUGACGCCAUGUUUGUCUGUCUGCGCGAGGAUGUUGUUGCACCAGAACGUGCCACAUUCUCGUCCCCAGCACACGCGGCUCAAACCCAAACGGCUCACUGAAUAUUGACAGGACAAUGUCGCAGUAGCACCUUCCAUCACCUUGAAUGCUGACACUGAACACCUGGCUGUUGAGCAGGGGGAAAUAAACACAGAUAACGUUUCCUUGCCUGAAAAUGUUAGGAGGACGAGGAUCCAACGACGGGGGGAAAACGGUCCAGAACUAGCAGCCAUCUUGUGUAUCCAGUGUGUAGGAGUGGAGGGUGUGUGCUGGGAAUGGGCAGGGUGGUGCAGAGACAGGGCAUCUGAAUGGGCAGCUGUGUUCUCGUGGGGGCCACUGCUUGUGACAUCUCCAGGCAGGACAGCCACAGCCACUGUGACCCCUCUGCUAACCUCCUCCUAUGGCAGGGCCGGGAGCGAAGAAAAGGCCCAUUGUUGACGGAAUUUUCAUCUGCAUAUACCAGAGUAAACAAACUGAUGAUUUAGGAGGCUCAUCUCCCAGGGUACACAAUGUGUUUUUAAAAGCUAACCCAUAGCCAAAGGUUAUGACUAGCCAGUUCCCCAAAUCCUUAAAUUGAUGUAAGGCUUUUAGUAGUUUUUAACAAUGUAUUAGUGGAAAAAUCAAUUGUGUAGCAAAUGAAUAAUUAGACACAUUAGAAUUUCAAGUUAGAAUUUUUAUUAUCAUGCAACAGAUUGGGUUUGAACAAGACAAUAUACCCCAAAAUUGGGUAAAGAAGACCAUUUUCCGAAGAAUGUCGCGAUUAUGUGUGACUUUUCACUGCCUUUGUAUGCCUGGGUGAUGUUGCAGAUGGGUGUAGCUAAAUGUCCUGGUUAGAGGACAUGGAGGGGAUAGAAAACCA
This is a long non-coding RNA of Oncorhynchus kisutch (coho salmon), 1371 nucleotides long. RefSeq lists it as uncharacterized. The record is from RefSeq and is a predicted model, not a curated record. The transcript is spliced from 2 exons. Lineage: Eukaryota; Metazoa; Chordata; Actinopteri; Salmoniformes; Salmonidae.